Molecule: transfer RNA, 63 nt
Filed under: Ictidomys tridecemlineatus (thirteen-lined ground squirrel)
Lineage: Eukaryota; Metazoa; Chordata; Mammalia; Rodentia; Sciuridae
Description: Spermophilus tridecemlineatus (thirteen-lined ground squirrel) tRNA
Rfam family: tRNA
About the family: Transfer RNA (tRNA) molecules are approximately 80 nucleotides in length. Their secondary structure includes four short double-helical elements and three loops (D, anti-codon, and T loops). Further hydrogen bonds mediate the characteristic L-shaped molecular structure. tRNAs have two regions of fundamental functional importance: the anti-codon, which is responsible for specific mRNA codon recognition, and the 3' end, to which the tRNAs corresponding amino acid is attached (by aminoacyl-tRNA synthetases). tRNAs cope with the degeneracy of the genetic code in two manners: having more than one tRNA (with a specific anti-codon) for a particular amino acid; and 'wobble' base-pairing, i.e. permitting non-standard base-pairing at the 3rd anti-codon position.
Source: Rfam by way of RNAcentral
GGUGGCUCAGCAUAGAGCGCUCGCCUCACACGCGAGAGGCCCUGGGUUCGAUCCUCAGCACCA